AAUAAGUUCAUUUAUAAUUUUUUUUAUUUAACAUUUAAUCAUCCGUUUUAUUUAAAUAUUUUUAUUAUUAGUAUUUUUGUUGUUAUUAGAUGAUAAAACAUGAAUAGUACUUUACGCGCAUUUUGUUACUUUUUCAUAGAAAAUUUAAAUAAGGCGGACGGCCAAACAUUGGACUUAAAAACCCACAAAUAAAUUUAUU
Molecule: microRNA precursor, 199 nt
Filed under: Oryza meridionalis
Lineage: Eukaryota; Viridiplantae; Streptophyta; Magnoliopsida; Poales; Poaceae
Description: MIR812 microRNA precursor family
Rfam family: MIR812 microRNA precursor family
Source: Rfam by way of RNAcentral